This 204-nucleotide ribosomal RNA is filed under the name uncultured bacterium. RNAcentral describes it as "partial 16S ribosomal RNA". It matches the Rfam family "Bacterial small subunit ribosomal RNA", at positions 1289 to 1500 of the family's 1533-position model. The record is from RNAcentral.
CAGUUCGGAUUGUAGUCUGCAACCCGACUACAUGAAGCUGGAAUCGCUAGUAAUCGCGCAUCAGCCAUGGCGCGGUGAAUACGUUCCCGGGCCUUGUACACACCGCCCGUCAAGCCAUGAAAGCCGGGGGUACCUGAAGUACGUAACCGCAAGGAGCGUCCUAGGGUAAAACUGGUAAUUGGGGCUAAGUCGUAACAAGGUACC